RNAcentral lists this unclassified non-coding RNA (320 nucleotides) under plant metagenome. RNAcentral's name for it is "partial contains 5.8S ribosomal RNA, internal transcribed spacer 2, and large subunit ribosomal RNA". The stretch from base 1 to 105 matches the Rfam family "5.8S ribosomal RNA", at positions 50 to 154 of the family's 154-position model. The record is from RNAcentral.
GAAAUGCGAUAAGUAAUGUGAAUUGCAGAAUUCAGUGAAUCAUCGAAUCUUUGAACGCACAUUGCGCCCGCCAGUAUUCUGGCGGGCAUGCCUGUUCGAGCGUCAUUACAACCCUCAGGCCCCCGGGCCUGGCGUUGAGGAUCGGCGGAAGCCCCCUGCGGGCACAACGCCGUCCCCCAAAUACAGUGGCGGUCCCGCCGCAGCUUCCAUUGCGUAGUAGCUAACACCUCGCAACUGGAGAGCGGCGCGGCCACGCCGUAAAACACCCAACUUCUGAAUGUUGACCUCGAAUCAGGUAGGAAUACCCGCUGAACUUAAGC